CCUACGGGAGGCAGCAGUGAGGAAUAUUGGUCAAUGGACGAGAGUCUGAACCAGCCAAGUAGCGUGAAGGAUGACUGCCCUAUGGGUUGUAAACUUCUUUUAUAUGGGAAUAAAACGUUCCACGUGUGGGAUUUUGUAUGUACCAUAUGAAUAAUGAUCGGCUAACUCCGUGCCAGCAGCCGCGGUAAUACGGAGGAUCCGAGCGUUAUCUGGAUUUAUUGGGUUUAAAGGGAGCGUAGGUGGAUUGUUAAGUCAGUUGUGAAAGUUUGCGGCUCAACCGUAAAAUUGCAGUUGAAACUGGCAGUCUUGAGUACAGUAGAGGUGGGCGGAAUUCGUGGUGUAGCGGUGAAAUGCUGAGAUAUCACGAAGAACUCCGAUUGCGAAGGCAGUUCACUGGACUGCAACUGACACUGAGGCUCGAAAGUGUGGGUAUCAAACAGGAUUAGAUACCCGGGUAGUC
RNAcentral lists this ribosomal RNA (460 nucleotides) under uncultured bacterium. Its description in RNAcentral is "partial 16S ribosomal RNA". It matches the Rfam family "Bacterial small subunit ribosomal RNA", at positions 338 to 795 of the family's 1533-position model. The record is from RNAcentral.